This 1647-nucleotide long non-coding RNA is filed under the name Homo sapiens (human). RNAcentral's name for it is "non-protein coding lnc-MYLPF-3:4". The record is from RNAcentral. Lineage: Eukaryota; Metazoa; Chordata; Mammalia; Primates; Hominidae.
AGGCUCUUGGACGGCGAAGCUGGGCAUGGUGGUGGGCAACUGUAAUCCCAGCUACUCAGGAGGCUGAGGCAGGAGAAUUGCUUGAACCUGGGAGGCAGAGGUUGCAGUGAGCUGAGAUCACGCCAUUGCACUCUAGCCCAGGCAACAGAAGUGAAACUCUGCCUAAAAAAAAAAGAAAAGAAAAGAAAGAAAGAAAGGUGGCCCCGUUAAUGUUUAUGCCAAGACAGCCGGCAUGACCUGGAAGUGUCCCAAGCCACAGGGCAUCUUGUUUCCGGGGAGGAUGAAUGAAUCAAAUCGCACCUAUUUUGAGGCAAGCAAGGACUCUGUGACUUCAGGAGCCCUGGUGGGUGGACAGAAGCUCCCUGCUCCCCCAGCCUGUCUACCCAGCAGCGCUUUGGCCAGUCCCAUUCCUGUACUUCUGAGCCUGCCUGUCAGUCCCUCCUCACACGCACACCGUGGCUUUGUGCCUGGUACUGAGUGUCCCGGAGCCCCAAACCACAGGGUCAACCCCAUGAAAGAAACCGGGACUCUGCUCUCAUCCACUCGCCCCCACCCCCCGCGUAAUCCCCUGGUGCUCACACAGCCCCACCGUAAAGUUUUUGUAGCUCCCUGGCAGACUUGUGCUCCUGUUUGCCAGAUCAAAGCCCAGUGACCUGAGCGGCCUGUCCCCAGCAGAGGCCACUAGUCCCUGUGGACCCACCCCAUUGGGAAAGGCAUGGGUUGAACUUUAACCAUUAGGCUCAGGGAUUGGGAUGAGUUUCUACAAAAAGAGGUGGGUACACGCCAGUCCACAGUGGUCCUGAUCAAAGUGAGAACAGACAGCAGGGAACAUCACCCUCUUCAGAUUGGAGUCAGUGGGAACAGACCUAAGAUGUUGGGGAAGAACACUUGGAAGACCUCAGCUUUCUCCUGGGUUGAGCAGAUGUGGGCCCCUCUCUGGAGUCGUUCGAUGAGGCCAGGGUGAUGGUGUUCUCAGCGUUCCUGUGCGCGGCGAACCAGCAGUAACACUUUGCACCCACUCUGGACGGGCCCGGUCUCCGUGCCAGGGGGCACCCGGCAGUCUCCUAUCAACAUCCAGUGGAGGGACAGCGUCUAUGACCCCUGGCUGAAGCCACUCAGGGUCUCCUAUGACGUGGCAUCCUGCCUGUACAUCUGGAACACUGGCUACCUCUUCCAGGUGGAAUUUGACGAUGCCACCAAGGCAUCAGAUGAUGACAGAAAAAAAAAAAAAGACAAGUCAUGGAUCAAGAAAAUAUUCACAAAACAGAAUCUGACAAAGGACUCAUUAUCUGGAAUAUCUAAUGAUCAAGGUCUCUUACAAGUCAAUCAGAAGACAAACAAUUCAGUUUUUAAAACAGGCAAAACAUAUGAGCAAACACUCGACCAAAAAUUUUGACAGGACUUUAGAGUCCCACAGACCUCGGUUAAAAUCCUGGCUUUACCACCCUCAGGCUAUGUGAUGUUGAAUGUCACCUCUCUGAGCCUCAUUUUUCUCAUCAGCAAAGUGGGAGAGAUACGUAACUAAAUAGGUAGUCAAGGAGAUUAAACAUAAUAUUCUGAACUUAUUUAGGUCCCUAAUAAAUGCCAGACACCCUCUUCUUCCCCUGUCAAAUAGAGGAUGUAUAUAUGUAUACAUACAAAUAUAUA